AUACUUACCUGGCAGAGGAGAUACCAUGAUCACGAAGGUGGUUUUCCCAGGGCAAGGCUUAUCCAUUGCACUCCAGAUAUGCUAACCCCUGCGAUUUCCCCAAAUGUGAGAAACUCGACUGCAUACUCCACUGUGGUAGUGGGGGAUUGCGCCUGUGCUUUCCCCUG
RNAcentral lists this small nuclear RNA (167 nucleotides) under Carlito syrichta (Philippine tarsier). Its description in RNAcentral is "U1 spliceosomal RNA (ENSTSYG00000027420.1)". It matches the Rfam family "U1 spliceosomal RNA". Rfam says of the family: U1 is a small nuclear RNA (snRNA) component of the spliceosome (involved in pre-mRNA splicing). Its 5' end forms complementary base pairs with the 5' splice junction, thus defining the 5' donor site of an intron. There are significant differences in sequence and secondary structure between metazoan and yeast U1 snRNAs, the latter being much longer (568 nucleotides as compared to 164 nucleotides in human). Lineage: Eukaryota; Metazoa; Chordata; Mammalia; Primates; Tarsiidae. The record is from Rfam by way of RNAcentral.